ACGGGGACAGCCGGUAGAAAUCCGGAUAAUACCGGAUGAUCUCUUUUGGAAUAAAGGCGAAAGAGGAAAGCGGCUCCGCCGCGCGGGUGGAGCGGUCCGCGUCCUAUCAGCUAGUCGGCGGGGUGAAGGCCCGCCGAGGCGACGACGGGUAUCCGGCCUGAGAGGGUGGACGGACACAUUGGGACUGAGAUACGGCCCAGACUCCUACGGGAGGCAGCAGCUAAGAAUAUUCCACAAUGGGGGGAACCCCGACGGAGCGACGCCGCGUGGACGACGAAGGCCGGAAGGUUGUAAAGUCCUUUUUUCCGCGAGGAAUAAGGCCGGGAGGGAAAGCCCGGCCGGUGACGGUAGCGGAGGAAUAAGCACCGGCUA
RNAcentral lists this ribosomal RNA (372 nucleotides) under Treponema sp. oral taxon G85. Its description in RNAcentral is "bacterial SSU rRNA". It matches the Rfam family "Bacterial small subunit ribosomal RNA", at positions 137 to 499 of the family's 1533-position model. Lineage: Bacteria; Pseudomonadati; Spirochaetota; Spirochaetia; Treponematales; Treponemataceae. The record is from RNAcentral.